This 113-nucleotide microRNA precursor is filed under the name Cicer arietinum (chickpea). Its description in RNAcentral is "MIR1509 microRNA precursor family". It matches the Rfam family "MIR1509 microRNA precursor family". The record is from Rfam by way of RNAcentral. Lineage: Eukaryota; Viridiplantae; Streptophyta; Magnoliopsida; Fabales; Fabaceae.
UGAUCCAUUGAAUAAUUUUAAUCAGGGAAAUCACAGUUGAGAUGGUGUGAGAUCUCUGUGUCUUUUUUUCUUUCUCUACUGUGUUUCCCUGUUUAAAGAAAUUCAUUGGUUCU